GUAGGUGGCAAGCGUUGUCCGGAAUUAUUGGGGCGUAAAGCGCGCGCAGGCGGUUCUUUAAGUCUGAUGUGAAAGCCCACGGGCUCAACCGUGGAGGGUCAUUGGAAACUGGAGAACUUGAGUACAGAAGAGGAAAGCGGAAUUCCACGUGUAGCGGUGAAAUGCGUAGAGAUGUGGAGGUACACCAGUGGCGAAGGCGGCUUUCUGGUCUGUAACUGACGCUGAGGCGCGAAAGCGUGGGGAGCAAACAGGAUUAGAUACCCUGGUAGUCCACGCCGUAAACGAUGAGUGCUAAGUGUUAGGGGGUUUCCGCCCCUUAGUGCUGCAGCUAACGCAUUAAGCACUCCGCCUGGGGAGUACGGCCGCAAAGGCUGA
RNAcentral lists this ribosomal RNA (375 nucleotides) under uncultured organism. RNAcentral's name for it is "partial 16S ribosomal RNA". It matches the Rfam family "Bacterial small subunit ribosomal RNA", at positions 527 to 897 of the family's 1533-position model. The record is from RNAcentral.